This 782-nucleotide long non-coding RNA is filed under the name Salvia miltiorrhiza (redroot sage). RNAcentral describes it as "long non-coding RNA (SMIL_LNC005323)". Lineage: Eukaryota; Viridiplantae; Streptophyta; Magnoliopsida; Lamiales; Lamiaceae. The record is from RNAcentral.
GCAUUAUGCCGUAUUUAAAUGAAAACAAGUACGACAUUAUAACAUAAUUAUUCUCCCUAUCAGGAUCGGAAGUUCGAAGGUCUGAGACCAAGACAACGUCUCAUACUAAGCAUAUGAUAGAUGCGGAAAACAAUCGCUAAGAAAAUGAUGGAGAGUGAAAUUCAUAUAAAAAUAUGAAUAAAGUAUUAACAUAGUUGGGCAUCAGAUAAUAUUCACUAAGUGAAUUUAUUUCAGCGGAAGUAAACAUAGCAUUUCUUCAAAAUCCAUAGCAACAACCCAUCCUCAGCCUCGCAUGUCACCACCAGCUGCUCAAUCUGCAAAAGGUUUUGAAAACAAUUGCAGGGCUGAGUACUAGUGUACUCAGUGGGUUGAGCCAUUUAAAAAUAUUUUAAAAAUUAUUUACUGAAAAAGAUAAUUCAUGCCUUAAACAGUAUAACACAGAAUGUUUUUAAAGUGAGUCAUUCCAUGCAUACUUAAAUAAUCUGAGCUCAUAUUUUCCUGGCUCAUCUAUUGGGCGUGCUAUCUACAACUGGUUGUCACCGAAACUCUCGAGACAACAGGUUCUGGUGUACGUACACAAUUCUAGUUAGCAGUGCUAACAAAGUUCUGGUUGGCGAAGCCAACAAUGUUCUGGUAGAAGCAAUAACCAAUAGAGAGCAAAAAUAUUUUAAGCAUGACCCAUCCACUUUAACAUCUCAUAAAAGCGAGCUUAUUAGCUCAAACAUACAUUUCGUAAAUAAAGCCUCACCUGAUUUGGAGACAAUCCAAAUAAUUUAACUGAG